RNAcentral lists this ribosomal RNA (253 nucleotides) under uncultured bacterium. RNAcentral describes it as "partial 16S ribosomal RNA". It matches the Rfam family "Bacterial small subunit ribosomal RNA", at positions 524 to 776 of the family's 1533-position model. The record is from RNAcentral.
UACGGAGGGUGCAAGCGUUAUCCGGAAUCAUUGGGUUUAAAGGGUCCGCAGGCGGGAAAAUAAGUCAGUGGUGAAAUCUCUCGGCUCACCCGAGAAACUGCCGUUGAUACUGUUUUUCUUGAAUUCGAUCGAAGUGGGCGGAAUGUGACAUGUAGCGGUGAAAUGCUUAGAUAUGUCACAGAACAACGAUAGCGAAGGCAGCUCACUAGGUCUGGAUUGACGCGCAGGGACGAAAGCGUGGGGAGCAAACAGG